GUGAGGAAUAUUGGUCAAUGGGCGCAAGCCUGAACCAGCCAUCCCGCGUGCAGGAAGACGGCGCUAUGCGUUGUAAACUGCUUUUCCAGGGAGAGAAACUUGCGCACGUGUUGCGCAAUUGACGGUACCCUGGGAAUAAGCAUCGGCUAACUCCGUGCCAGCAGCCGCGGUAAUACGGAGGAUGCGAGCGUUAUCCGGAUUCAUUGGGUUUAAAGGGUGCGUAGGCGGACUAUUAAGUCAGUGGUGAAAUACUGCAGCUUAACUGCAGAACUGCCAUUGAUACUGAUAGCCUUGAGUUUGGUUAAGGUAGGCGGAAUGUGUAAUGUAGCGGUGAAAUGCUUAGAUAUUACACAGAACACCAAUUGCGUAGGCAGCUUACUGAGCCGACACUGACGCUGAGGCACGAAAGCGUGGGGAUCGAACAGGAUUAGAAACCCUUGUAGUCC
RNAcentral lists this ribosomal RNA (446 nucleotides) under uncultured bacterium. RNAcentral's name for it is "partial 16S ribosomal RNA". It matches the Rfam family "Bacterial small subunit ribosomal RNA", at positions 354 to 796 of the family's 1533-position model. The record is from RNAcentral.